Microcebus murinus (gray mouse lemur) is the source of this 559-nucleotide long non-coding RNA. RefSeq lists it as uncharacterized. NCBI's taxonomy places the organism in Eukaryota, Metazoa, Chordata, Mammalia, Primates, Cheirogaleidae. The record is from RefSeq and is a predicted model, not a curated record.
AAGUGCAAUGCCGGCUUUAGCAUCGAAGAUGGAGGAGUGGGUGUCGCUGACGAAGUCCGUAGAGACGACCUGGGCAUCAAAUUUAAAAGGAACAAUGCAUGCACUUGGAAUGGGCCAGAAAGGAAGCCCUCUCUGAGCGGUGGCCAUGAGCCUGGGUCUGGCUGACUAGGAGGAUCUGGCCAACUUGAGCCCUCAGUCAGUACAUUGUCUGAGCUGGAAAGAGCUGCAGACACAGGUCCUGAGGGUUUUAGCCCUAGUGUGGGUUCACACUAGGGGCCACAGGGGAGUUUUUAGCAGUGGAGUGAUACCAUCUGAUUCUGUUAAAAGAAGAGGUCCCGGAGGCUGUGUGGGAGUGGACCUGCAUGAGCUAAAGCAGGGAGACAACACCAAGGUGGAUGACAUACAGAGAUGGCACUUCUGAUGGUGACAUCAACUCCUCACAUGGAAGGUACUGGCCAAAUGCUAAAAAAUAGGAGCUCUGUUGUCUUUUGUUCACUGAGCAUGUUAUGAGCACUUGUUGUGUGCCAGGCUGGAAGGAAAUGAAAAGAUAACCCCUAAA